This 72-nucleotide transfer RNA is filed under the name Curtobacterium sp. MCBD17_040. It matches the Rfam family "tRNA". From Rfam's summary of the family: Transfer RNA (tRNA) molecules are approximately 80 nucleotides in length. Their secondary structure includes four short double-helical elements and three loops (D, anti-codon, and T loops). Lineage: Bacteria; Bacillati; Actinomycetota; Actinomycetes; Micrococcales; Microbacteriaceae. The record is from Rfam by way of RNAcentral.
GGUCGGGUAACUCAGCGGAAGAGUGCCGUCCUGAUAAGACGGAAGUCGGAGGUUCAACUCCUCCCCUGACCA